AUCCAGCGAACUUGGCAGAGAUGCCUUGGUGCCUUCGGGAACGCUGAGACAGGUGCUGCAUGGCUGUCGUCAGCUCGUGUUGUGAAAUGUUGGGUUAAGUCCCGNAACGAGCGCAACCCUUAUCCUUUGUUGCCAGCGAUUCGGUCGGGAACUCAAAGGAGACUGCCGGUGAUAAACCGGAGGAAGGUGGGGAUGACGUCAAGUCAUCAUGGCCCUUACGAGUAGGGCUACACACGUGCUACAAUGGCGCAUACAAAGAGAAGCGACCUCGCGAGAGCAAGCGGACCUCAUAAAGUGCGUCGUAGUCCGGAUCGGAGUCUGCAACUCGACUCCGUGAAGUCGGAAUCGCUAGUAAUCGUGGAUCAGAAUGCCACGGUGAAUACGUUCCCGGGCCUUGUACACACCGCCCGUCACACCAUGGGAGUGGGUUGCAAAAGAAGUAGGUAGCUUAACCCUCGGGAGGGCGCUUACCACUUUGUGAUUCAUGACUGGGGUGAAGUCGUAACAAGGUAGGCGUAGUGCU
RNAcentral lists this ribosomal RNA (523 nucleotides) under uncultured bacterium. RNAcentral describes it as "bacterial SSU rRNA". It matches the Rfam family "Bacterial small subunit ribosomal RNA", at positions 986 to 1509 of the family's 1533-position model. The record is from RNAcentral.